Long non-coding RNA from Micropterus dolomieu (smallmouth bass), 978 nucleotides. RefSeq lists it as uncharacterized. NCBI's taxonomy places the organism in Eukaryota, Metazoa, Chordata, Actinopteri, Centrarchiformes, Centrarchidae. The record is from RefSeq and is a predicted model, not a curated record. The transcript is spliced from 3 exons.
UUGACACAUACAAUACAGAAACUGGCCUCGUCUCACACUGGAAUGCAGCAAACCUAAGCUUCAUCAGGACACAGGCACAUGUAACUGGUGGUUAAUGACAACUGGAGACUUGUUUAAAGCGUAUCUAAACACUAAUUAUUCUGCCCUGUUGUUUUGUUGUGUUUUUGUUUUACUCCCAGAAGGAAAUUAUUAACAGACCUUCUCUUCACCAGGCCUGCGAGAGAUUCUGACUGAGAAGGAAACUGUUGCUUUUGGAACAGGACAUGGGGUUGCCAUCAUGACAGACGUGGAGCACCAGAUUCCGGUUAGACUUCUGCUGUUUCCGAGGUCAACAAUGAACUUUAAGCCUUAGUUGUCAUGCAUAACAAGGACAUAGAGUCCUAGAGAUGCUCAGAAUCAUCAUAAAAAGUUUUUGGUGAUCUACAAUAUCAUGACAACUGAGGAAACUACAUCUGCUGAGGAAGACUGUGUGAUACUGUUGAAAGCUCCAGAACAAUUGAAUGGCUGUUUCGUCAAUACCUGAAAGAAGCUUUUCAUCGCUUUCAAAAGGCACUUCGGAGACAGUACAUAUUGGCCUUUAAUUUAGGAGACUAAAUUAUCCUGAUGUGAUAAACCCACCCACCUCACACUCUCAGUAGGUAAAAACAAACACACACAUGUUAAAUUACAUUAGACACUAGUCUGAACUAUAAUGUACAGCAAGAAGCAGAGACACACAGCAGCUCCAAUGAAGUUAGCCCAACUUAUCUUAAGUUUCCUUUUGAGAGGGUCUUAACUGGAAAUAAAUUUAUCGCAACCUGUGAUAUUUGUGCAAUAUUCAAACCUUGACAUUUCAUUUCAUUAGAUGAUUGGUUCAUAUCCAAACUUGAAUAUGGUUUCAUGGUUGAUAUAGAGCUGAAAGUAAGCUUUGUUAGUUCAUGUGUUGAUGAUUUGGCUUUAUACAUGGACUUAAUAAAACUGUUCCAGGAGUAAACAGAA